RNAcentral lists this ribosomal RNA (203 nucleotides) under uncultured bacterium. Its description in RNAcentral is "partial 16S ribosomal RNA". It matches the Rfam family "Bacterial small subunit ribosomal RNA", at positions 1300 to 1500 of the family's 1533-position model. The record is from RNAcentral.
GUAGGCUGAAACUCGCCUACAUGAAGCUGGAGUUACUAGUAAUCGCAGAUCAGAAUGCUGCGGUGAAUGCGUUCCCGGGUCUUGUACACACCGCCCGUCACACCACGGAAGUUGGGGGCGCCCGAAGCCACUUAGCUAACCCUUUUGGGAAGCGAGUGUCAAAGGUGAAAUCAAUAACUGGGGUGAAGUCGUAACAAGGUAUC